UUUUAAAUAUAUAUCGAGAUCGUCAUUAUGACAUAUCAUCUUAAUCCGCUCUAACUCACUCCAAAGAAUAAGAACAAAAAUUCAAAAUUAAUGUGAUACGAGGAGGGGGUAUUUUGUGUUGGUGGAAAAUUAUAGACGAAAACAUGUACAUAAUAUGUAUUAGAUAAAUAUGAAUUUAAUGAUAUACCUGUCUCACACUGU
Molecule: long non-coding RNA, 201 nt
Filed under: Carica papaya (papaya)
Lineage: Eukaryota; Viridiplantae; Streptophyta; Magnoliopsida; Brassicales; Caricaceae
Description: long non-coding RNA (CPAP_LNC015960)
Source: RNAcentral